CCGGGGUGCACCAGGCGCGAAAACUUCGCAAUGCACGAAAGUGCGACGAGGCUACUUCGAGUGCCGUCCGCUGAGGAUGGCUUUUGCCAAGUCUAAAUAGCUUGGAGAAUAAGGGGAGGGCAAGUCUGGUGUCAGCCGCCGCGGUAAUACCAGCUCCCCGAGUGGUCGGGAUGAUUAUUGGGCCUAAAGCAUCCGUAGCCGGUUCCGUAGGUCUCCUGUUAAAUUCAACGGCUCAACCGUUGAGCUGCAGGAGAUACCGCGGGGCUAGGAGGCGGGAGAGGCGGACGGUACUCCGUGGGUAGGGGUAAAAUCCUCUGAUCCUCGGAAGACCACCAGUGGCGAAGGCGGUCCGCCAGAACGCGCUCGACGGUGAGGGAUGAAAGCUGGGGGAGCGAACCGGAUUAGAUACCCGGGUAGUCCCAGCUGUAAACGAUGCGAGCUAGGUGAUAGAAUGAUUUCGUAUCAUUCUAGUGCCGCAGGGAAGUCGUUAAGCUCGCCGCCUGGGGAGUACGGUCGCAAGACUGAAACUUAAAGGAAUUGGCGGGGGAGCAAAGGGCGAUUCGCG
This 565-nucleotide ribosomal RNA is filed under the name uncultured archaeon. Its description in RNAcentral is "bacterial SSU rRNA". It matches the Rfam family "Archaeal small subunit ribosomal RNA", at positions 325 to 897 of the family's 1478-position model. The record is from RNAcentral.